CGACAACGUACCGCAUGGUGCNUUGGUGAAGAUUUAUCGCUUUCUUGAUGGAACUCGCGUCUGAUUAGAUAGUUGGUGAGGUAACGGCUCACCAAGUCGACGAUCAGUAGCCGGACUGAGAGGUUGAACGGCCACAUUGGGACUGAGACACGGCCCAGACUCCUACGGGAGGCAGCAGUGGGAAUAUUGCGCAAUGGGGCAACCCUGACGCAGCAACGCCGCGUGAAGGAUGAAGGUCUUCGGAUUGUAAACUUUUGUCUUUGGUGAAGAUAAUGACGGUAGCCAAGGAGGAAGCCACGGCUAACUACGUG
This 311-nucleotide ribosomal RNA is filed under the name uncultured bacterium. RNAcentral describes it as "bacterial SSU rRNA". It matches the Rfam family "Bacterial small subunit ribosomal RNA", at positions 173 to 507 of the family's 1533-position model. The record is from RNAcentral.